Molecule: ribosomal RNA, 253 nt
Filed under: uncultured bacterium
Lineage: Bacteria
Description: partial 16S ribosomal RNA
Rfam family: Bacterial small subunit ribosomal RNA
Source: RNAcentral
UACGGAGGGUGCGAGCGUUGUCCGGAAUCACUGGGCGUAAAGGGCUCGUAGGCGGCCAACUAAGUCGGAUGUGAAAUCCCCAGGCUUAACCUGGGAACUGCAUCCGAUACUGGAUGGCUUGAAUCCGGGAGAGGGAUGCAGAAUUCCAGGUGUAGCGGUGAAAUGCGUAGAUAUCUGGAGGAAUACCGGUGGCGAAGGCGGCAUCCUGGACCGGCAUUGACGCUGAGACGCGAAAGCGUGGGGAGCGAACAGG